Molecule: ribosomal RNA, 490 nt
Filed under: uncultured bacterium
Lineage: Bacteria
Description: partial 16S ribosomal RNA
Rfam family: Bacterial small subunit ribosomal RNA
Source: RNAcentral
AUUGAACGCUGGCGGCAUGCUUUACACAUGCAAGUCGGACGGCAGCACAGAGAUUCUUGCUUCUUGUGUGGCGAGUGGCGGACGGGUGAGUAAUAUAUCGGCACGUCUCGAGUAAUGGGGGAUAACUAAUCGAAAGAUUAGCUAAUACCGCGUAUUCUCUGCGGAGGAAAGCAGGGGACCUUCGGGCCUUGCGUUAUUCGAGCGGCCGAUAUCUUCUUGGCUAGUUUGUGGGGUAAGGGCCUACCAAGGCGACCAUCAGUAGCGGGUCGGAGAGGAUGGUCGGCCGCACUAGAACUGGACCACGGCCCAGACGCCUACGGGAGGCAGCAGUGGGGAAUUUUGGACAGUGGGCGCAAGCCUGAUCCAGCCAUGCCGAGUGUCUGAAGAAGGCCUUCGGGUUGUAAAGGACUUUUGUCAGGGAAGAAAAGGCUGUUGCUAAUACCGACAGCUGAUGACGGUACCUGAAGAAUAAGCACCGGCUAACUACGUG